UGGGUUAUUUUGGGAUUUUUUUAAAGAAUCUGGAUUAUUUGGGUAGUAAAUAAUUUUUAUACCUUCCAUUUAAUUUUAUAAUAUUUAUUUAUAAGGUAAUGCAAGUUAUUUAAAUUUUCUAAAAUUCCACCAUGUUAUAUAACAUAUAUUGGGAAUAUUUAUUAUCAACAUUAAAUUAGAAACAAAUAUACAUAUUUCUAUUUUUUAUUCCACAACUUAACUGAAC
Molecule: long non-coding RNA, 226 nt
Filed under: Lathyrus oleraceus (garden pea)
Lineage: Eukaryota; Viridiplantae; Streptophyta; Magnoliopsida; Fabales; Fabaceae
Description: Pisum sativum (pea) long non-coding RNA (PSAT_LNC038226)
Source: RNAcentral